This 2064-nucleotide ribosomal RNA is filed under the name Triticum aestivum (bread wheat). RNAcentral describes it as "partial small subunit ribosomal RNA". The record is from RNAcentral. Lineage: Eukaryota; Viridiplantae; Streptophyta; Magnoliopsida; Poales; Poaceae.
AUGGAAACUACUGUGAUUGCAUUGGAUUACAGAGAGAUUCUUUCUCUGAGAGAUAUAAAAGAGAAAGAGGGAAAUCAGGGGAUGAACGUUAUCUGUAUUUUAAAGGAAAAAAGAGAAAUUAGUGCCUCUUUAUUUUGGAAACUGCCCAUUUAUGAUCUUUUAUUUUUUGAUAAAUGCACAAUUCUCAUCAUGCUGGUGGCCUAUUUGGGUGAGGGGAGGAACUAUAUCUACAGCAGAGGGGGGGGGGGCCUCGAGUCAUCAGCUCUCCAUACACAGCAAGCUUUUCUGUUUUCCUUUUUGAGCUCCUUCCCUGUACGAGUUGAUUUAGUGAGUAAGGGAGAGAUAGAGAUGGAGAGAAAGGGGGAGGCGGAGAGGGAGGUGGGUCAGGGAUCGGGGAGUGUGCCGGCGUCCAUGGGGAGCGGUUCUCUGACUAGUUCACCUGGGGGCGAGAAGAUGAAGGUGUCCAGGCAGCCUUGUGGGGAUGGCUCACCACUGGUCAUCGAUUUGGAGGCUGCCAGGAGGGCUGUGAGGGGUUUCUUGGUGGUGGGCCGAUUUCUGUUGCCUUUCCAAGUUCACCCGCAGGUCCUAGUUGAUGACCUUCGUGCUUCGUCGGCUUGGAGGCUGCAAGGCGAGGUCACCGUCCAGGAGGUGGACAGCGACGACGGGAGGUUCAUCCUGAACUUCUCCGCCGACGUGGACAAACGCUUUGUGUUGAAGGCACAACCGUGGCACCAUAAGCGGGAUGGGAUCAUCUUCGCCGAGUUCGACGGCAAGGGUAACCCGGCGGAGGUGGAUCUUGGAACCAUGGCUAUUUGGGCCCAGGUUCGUGAUCUACCGUUUGACCUUAAAACUGAAGAUGUGGGUUCGUCUCUAGGAGGCCAAAUUGGGGAGGUGAUAACCAUCUCACACCAGAACCACAUGAUAGUAGAAAAGUUUUUGCGUGUUCGUGUGAAAGUCCCGCUACACGAGCCAAUUAAGAGUAGAAUAGAAUUCACUCCUCUAGGCAGCAAAGAAAAACGUUACUUUGAUGUUCGUUAUGAAAAGUUGCCAUCAUAUUGUGAGUGUUGUGGGCUUGUAGGCCAUAUGUCGGAAAGGUUCUGUAGGAUUCCUAAAGAGAAUAGAGUAGUUGUUGUUGCAAAAAACCUCAGUGUAGAGGCCUACUGGAAGGGAAAUACAGCUAGUAGAAGAGCUCUUGUGUACUCGGGCUAUAGUAGAAAAAACAUCUCAAAGGCUACUGAAGGUAUGGUGGUCAAAGUCACCAAAGCUGUGAGUGAUCUUACUGUGAAAGAGAAAGGUGCUGCAUCGUCUAUUCUGGCGACUGGACGUCUAGUCCAGGGAGGCCACUUGCUCGGUCAGGAGGACCGGGGGCAAGUACCAUCUCUGCCGGUGCCCGUAGGAGCUGCCUCGGGUCAGGUGGACCUGGAGCGCGGGCCACUCGAGCGCGCUAGCCUUGGCCAGGAGGGCCAAGGACUGGCGGCCAAAAGGGCGCCCAACAAGGGGGCGCUGCAGGUCGGCCAGGAGGGCUGUCUCCCUGUAGCGUCCCAACACUCCAUGCGGGGUGAUGAUCAUGGUCAGGAGGACCAGAAUGCAUCAACAUACACCCCUGCACCCCCUACUAGCGAAGGCCAGGAGGGCCAAGCGCUGGUGGGGGGAGCGGCUCCCACCAAGGCUGCUGUACCUGGCCAGGCGGGCCAGGACAUGUUGCAUCAGGGGAAUAGUACUUCCCCCAUCAGGUCUGUUGCGGCUAUGGCGGCAUACCAGCCUAACCCGGUCGGCCAGGAGAGUAGGACGGCUCUGCAAUGGGGUGAUCAACUCCUCUUUCGCCCGGGGGUGCUGGAGGCGCUGUCGGGGGCUGUUGCUGCAAGACUUGCUACAAAAAAUACCACUGACACCCCUAUUUACACUUUCAAUGCUACAAAGAAAUCCAUGCAGGGAAAGGCAAAAGAAAAGGGCAGGAAAGGAAAGAAGGGAGGAGGAGUUGGGAGUUCAGAGGGAGCACGCAAGAACAUUAUAGGCAAAAAAAAAGAAGCCUCUAUGAAGCUCCAGCAGCUGGUAGUGAGCUAG